RNAcentral lists this ribosomal RNA (329 nucleotides) under uncultured bacterium. RNAcentral describes it as "bacterial SSU rRNA". It matches the Rfam family "Bacterial small subunit ribosomal RNA", at positions 471 to 793 of the family's 1533-position model. The record is from RNAcentral.
GACGUUAGCGACAGAAGAAGCACCGGCUAACUCCGUGCCAGCAGCCGCGGUAAUACGGAGGGUGCGAGCGUUAAUCGGAAUUACUGGGCGUAAAAGCGCAUGCAGGUGGUUUGUUAAGUCAGAUGUGAAAAGCCCGGGCUCAAACCUCGGAAAUAGCAUUUGAAAAACUGGCAGACUAGAGUACUGUAGGAGGGGGUAGAAUUUCAGGUGUAGCGGUGAAAAUGCGUAGAGAUCUGAAGGAAUACCGGUGGCGAAGGCGGCCCCUGGACAGAUACUGACACUCAGAUGCGAAAGCGUGGGGAGCAAACAGGAUUAGACUACCCUGGUAG